GGGGCGCUGGCGCAACGGUAGCGCGUGAGAUUCCAGUCCUCAAGGUUGAGCGUUCAAAUCGCUCGUGCCUCA
This 72-nucleotide transfer RNA is filed under the name Cytospora mali. Its description in RNAcentral is "tRNA-Trp (CCA) (tRNA-Trp-CCA-2-1)". It matches the Rfam family "tRNA". Rfam says of the family: Transfer RNA (tRNA) molecules are approximately 80 nucleotides in length. Their secondary structure includes four short double-helical elements and three loops (D, anti-codon, and T loops). The record is from RNAcentral. Lineage: Eukaryota; Fungi; Ascomycota; Sordariomycetes; Diaporthales; Cytosporaceae.